CUGGCCUUAGUUAUUCUUUACAUCCGGGUUCUUUGAAAGCUCAGUUUGGGAAAGUCUGUCAGAAGUACAGGGAUGCCUUUGAAGAAGUUUGGACAACUCCACCUUAGGUGUGUAACUGCCUCUUGCUUUAGCCCUUGAAAAAGGCAUGGAAUCAGGAUCAGCUCUGCCCAUAUGGAAGGGAUUUAUUUUUAUGUGGGUCUUAAGCAGCACCAAGAUCAUUUUGAAAGCAAUCCAGGUCAAAAUGAGAAUAUUAAAGGUAAGAAGAGGAAUGGAGAAACAGCUCAAGGCUUGAAGGUUCUCCUUCCUGAUAACUCUGGAAGAUGAUGAGAUCAAUUUACCUGCUCAUGGAUAACAGUAAUCACCCACACUCUCAUUCCUAAUCAACCACAAAG
Molecule: long non-coding RNA, 392 nt
Organism: Antechinus flavipes (yellow-footed antechinus)
Lineage: Eukaryota; Metazoa; Chordata; Mammalia; Dasyuromorphia; Dasyuridae
Exons: 3
Source: RefSeq, a predicted model, not a curated record